CCUACGGGUGGCAGCAGUGGGGGAUAUUGCACAAUGGGCGGAACCCUGAUGCAGCGACGCCGCGUGGGUGAAGAAGCGCCUCGGCGCGUAAAGCCCCUUCAGUAGGGGAGAAAAUGACGGUACGUGAAGCAGAAGCCCCGUCUAACUACGUGCCAGCAGCCGUGGUAAUACGCCGGGGGCCGGCGUUAUCCGGAUUUACUGGGUGUAAAGGGGGCGCAGACGGCGAUGAAAGUCAGGAGUGAAAGUCCGGGGCCCAACCCCGGGACUGCACUUGGAACUGGGAGGCUUGAGUGCAGGAGGGGCAGGCGGAAUUCGUGGUGUAGCGGUGAAAUGCGUAGAUAUCACGAAGAACUCCGAUGGCGAAGGCAGCCUGCUGGACUGCCACUGACGUUGAGGCUCGAAAGCGUGGGGAGCAAACAGGAUUAGAUACCCGUGUAGUC
This 440-nucleotide ribosomal RNA is filed under the name uncultured bacterium. RNAcentral's name for it is "partial 16S ribosomal RNA". It matches the Rfam family "Bacterial small subunit ribosomal RNA", at positions 338 to 795 of the family's 1533-position model. The record is from RNAcentral.